UGAUUAAGGCAGCAGGCCACAGCAGGAGCACUCACAUCACAGCCCUGUCAGAUUCCAGUGAAUCUGCAAAUUCUGCU
Molecule: ribozyme, 77 nt
Filed under: Crocodylus porosus (Australian saltwater crocodile)
Lineage: Eukaryota; Metazoa; Chordata; Crocodylia; Crocodylidae
Description: Mammalian CPEB3 ribozyme (ENSCPRG00005013080.1)
Rfam family: Mammalian CPEB3 ribozyme
About the family: The mammalian CPEB3 ribozyme is a self cleaving RNA located in the second intron of the CPEB3 gene which belongs to a family of genes regulating messenger RNA polyadenylation. This ribozyme is highly conserved and found only in mammals. There is currently only one other known self cleaving ribozyme in mammals, the CoTC motif.
Source: Rfam by way of RNAcentral